UACGUAGGGGGCAAGCGUUGUCCGGAUUUAUUGGGCGUAAAGAGCGUGUAGGCGGCUUUACAGGUCCGUUGUGAAAACUCGAGGCUCAACCUCGAGACGCCGGUGGAAACCGUAAAGCUAGAGUCCGGAAGAGGAGAGUGGAAUUCCUGGUGUAGCGGUGAAAUGCGCAGAUAUCAGGAAGAACACCCGUGGCGAAGGCGGCUCUCUGGGACGGUACUGACGCUGAGGAGCGAAAGCCAGGGGAGCAAACGGG
RNAcentral lists this ribosomal RNA (253 nucleotides) under uncultured bacterium. RNAcentral's name for it is "partial 16S ribosomal RNA". It matches the Rfam family "Bacterial small subunit ribosomal RNA", at positions 524 to 776 of the family's 1533-position model. The record is from RNAcentral.